This 255-nucleotide ribosomal RNA is filed under the name uncultured bacterium. RNAcentral describes it as "partial 16S ribosomal RNA". It matches the Rfam family "Bacterial small subunit ribosomal RNA", at positions 522 to 776 of the family's 1533-position model. The record is from RNAcentral.
UACGGGGGGGGGGCAAGCGUUGUUCGGAAUUACUGGGCGUAAAGGGUUCGUAGGUGGCCAACUAAGUCAGACGUGAAAUCCCUCGGCUCAACCGGGGAACUGCGUCUGAUACUGGUUGGCUUGAGUGCAGGAGAGGAACGCGGAAUUCCAGGUGUAGCGGUGAAAUGCGUAGAUAUCUGGAGGAACACCGGUGGCGAAGGCGGCGUUCUGGACUGCAACUGACACUGAGGAACGAAAGCCAGGGGAGCAAACGGG